This 500-nucleotide ribosomal RNA is filed under the name uncultured bacterium. RNAcentral's name for it is "bacterial SSU rRNA". It matches the Rfam family "Bacterial small subunit ribosomal RNA", at positions 28 to 552 of the family's 1533-position model. The record is from RNAcentral.
CCUGAACGCUGGCGGCGUGGUUAAGACAUGCAAGUCGCACGGGUGCAGCAAUGCAUCAGUGGCGGACGGGAGCGUAAUGUAUCGCUAACGUGCCCUCAGGACGGGGAUAGCCGGCCGAAAGGCCGGGUAAUACCCGGUAAGACCCCGGAGUCGCAUGGCUCUGUGCUCAUAAGCCGCAAGGCGCCUGAGGAGCGGGUGAUAUCGUAUCAGCUAGUUGGCAGGGUAACGGCCUACCAAGGCGACGACGCGUAGCUGGUCUGAGAGGACGGCCAGCCUCAUCGGGACUGAGACACUGCCCGGACUCCUACGGGGGGCUGCAGUAACGAAUCUUCCCCAAUGCGCGAAAGCGUGAGGGAGCGACGCCGCGUGGAGGAUGAAGUCCUUCGGGAUGUAAACUCCUGUCAGGGAUAAGAAAGAACUGAUCUAUCCCAGAGGAAGUGGCGGCUAACUCUGUGCCAGCAGCCGCGGUAAGACAGAGGCCACAAGCGUUAGGCGGAAUC